Molecule: microRNA, 19 nt
Filed under: Schistosoma mansoni
Lineage: Eukaryota; Metazoa; Platyhelminthes; Trematoda; Strigeidida; Schistosomatidae
Description: sma-miR-8471-5p
Source: miRBase by way of RNAcentral
GUUAAUAUGGUAUGGCAAC